CUCUGAGGGUACAGUCAAGUCCCGAGUCGAUCGGGAUUAUUCUUCCCCUCUAACAGGAGUUUACAAUCUUACGACAUUCAUCCUCCACGCGGCGUUGCUGGGUCAGGCUUUCGCCCAUUGCCCAAUAUUCCUC
RNAcentral lists this ribosomal RNA (133 nucleotides) under uncultured bacterium. RNAcentral describes it as "partial 16S ribosomal RNA". The record is from RNAcentral.